GACGAACGCUGGCGGCGUGCUUAACACAUGCAAGUCGAACGGAAAGGCCCUGCUUUUGUGGGGUGCUCGAGUGGCUAACGGGUGAGUAACACGUGAGUAACCUGCCCUUGACUUUGGGAUAACUUCAGGAAACUGGGGCUAAUACCGGAUAGGAGCUCCUGCUGCAUGGUGGGGGUUGGAAAGUUUCGGCGGUUGGGGAUGGACUCGCGGCUUAUCAGCUUGUUGGUGGGGUAGUGGCUUACCAAGGCUUUGACGGGUAGCCGGCCUGAGAGGGUGACCGGCCACAUGGGGACUGAGAUACGGCCCAGACGCCUACGGUAGGCAGCAGUGGGGAAUAUUGCACAGUGGGCGGAAGCCUGAUGCAGCGACGCCGCGUGCGGGAUGACGGCCUUCGGGUUGUAAACCGCUGUCGCCUGUGACGAAGCGUGAGUGACGGUAAUGGGUAAAGAAGCACCGGCUAACUACGUG
Molecule: ribosomal RNA, 468 nt
Filed under: uncultured bacterium
Lineage: Bacteria
Description: partial 16S ribosomal RNA
Rfam family: Bacterial small subunit ribosomal RNA
Source: RNAcentral